UGGCUGCCGACAAUAUCCGGCCGAAGGUAUGCCGGCCAAACAGACCAAUACUGCUUCCAACCGACCGAACGGUCGAACCCACAUCACCGACUCACUGUCGGGGGUGGCAGUUGACAUCCGACUUUCAUAAGACAUUAGAUCAGCCGACGGUGUCUCCGAGUCACCACCCGACGUUCCGACGGUCGAAUAUCGACAUAUAGUCGG
Molecule: long non-coding RNA, 204 nt
Filed under: Elaeis guineensis (African oil palm)
Lineage: Eukaryota; Viridiplantae; Streptophyta; Magnoliopsida; Arecales; Arecaceae
Description: long non-coding RNA (EGUI_LNC059893)
Source: RNAcentral